RNAcentral lists this ribosomal RNA (730 nucleotides) under uncultured bacterium. RNAcentral's name for it is "bacterial SSU rRNA". It matches the Rfam family "Bacterial small subunit ribosomal RNA", at positions 771 to 1501 of the family's 1533-position model. The record is from RNAcentral.
AACAGGAUUAGAUACCCUGGUAGUCCACGCCGUAAACGAUGUCGACUUGGAGGUUGUGCCCUUGAGGCGUGGCUUCCGGAGCUAACGCGUUAAGUCGACCGCCUGGGGAGUACGGCCGCAAGGUUAAAACUCAAAUGAAUUGACGGGGGCCCGCACAAGCGGUGGAGCAUGUGGUUUAAUUCGAUGCAACGCGAAGAACCUUACCUACUCUUGACAUCCAGAGAACUUAGCAGAGAUGCUUUGGUGCCUUCGGGAACUCUGAGACAGGUGCUGCAUGGCUGUCGUCAGCUCGUGUUGUGAAAUGUUGGGUUAAGUCCCGCAACGAGCGCAACCCUUAUCCUUUGUUGCCAGCGGUCMGGCCGGGAACUCAAAGGAGACUGCCAGUGAUAAACUGGAGGAAGGUGGGGAUGACGUCAAGUCAUCAUGGCCCUUACGAGUAGGGCUACACACGUGCUACAAUGGCGCAUACAAAGAGAAGCGACCUCGCGAGAGCAAGCGGACCUCAUAAAGUGCGUCGUAGUCCGGAUUGGAGUCUGCAACUCGACUCCAUGAAGUCGGAAUCGCUAGUAAUCGUAGAUCAGAAUGCUACGGUGAAUACGUUCCCGGGCCUUGUACACACCGCCCGUCACACCAUGGGAGUGGGUUGCAAAAGAAGUAGGUAGCUUAACCUYCGGGAGGGCGCUUACCACUUUGUGAUUCAUGACUGGGGUGAAGUCGUAACAAGGUAACC